Molecule: ribosomal RNA, 703 nt
Filed under: Cryobacterium sp. N4_96_1
Lineage: Bacteria; Bacillati; Actinomycetota; Actinomycetes; Micrococcales; Microbacteriaceae
Description: bacterial SSU rRNA
Rfam family: Bacterial small subunit ribosomal RNA
Source: RNAcentral
GAUGGAGAGCUUGCUCUUCGGAUUAGUGGCGAACGGGUGAGUAACACGUGAGCAAUCUGCCCUUGACUCUGGGAUAAGCGUUGGAAACGACGUCUAAUACCGGAUACGACCCCUGGAGGCAUCUCCGGGGGUGGAAAGAAUUUUGGUCAGGGAUGAGCUCGCGGCCUAUCAGCUAGUUGGUGAGGUAAUGGCUCACCAAGGCGACGACGGGUAGCCGGCCUGAGAGGGUGACCGGCCACACUGGGACUGAGACACGGCCCAGACUCCUACGGGAGGCAGCAGUGGGGAAUAUUGCACAAUGGGCGAAAGCCUGAUGCAGCAACGCCGCGUGAGGGACGACGGCCUUCGGGUUGUAAACCUCUUUUAGUAGGGAAGAAGCGAAAGUGACGGUACCUGCAGAAAAAGCACCGGCUAACUACGUGCCAGCAGCCGCGGUAAUACGUAGGGUGCAAGCGUUGUCCGGAAUUAUUGGGCGUAAAGAGCUCGUAGGCGGUUUGUCGCGUCUGCUGUGAAAACCCGAGGCUCAACCUCGGGCCUGCAGUGGGUACGGGCAGACUAGAGUGCGGUAGGGGAGAUUGGAAUUCCUGGUGUAGCGGUGGAAUGCGCAGAUAUCAGGAGGAACACCAAUGGCGAAGGCAGAUCUCUGGGCCGUAACUGACGCUGAGGAGCGAAAGCAUGGGGAGCGAACAGGAUUAGAUACCCU